This is a long non-coding RNA of Mirounga angustirostris (Northern elephant seal), 217 nucleotides long. RefSeq lists it as uncharacterized. NCBI's taxonomy places the organism in Eukaryota, Metazoa, Chordata, Mammalia, Carnivora, Phocidae. The record is from RefSeq and is a predicted model, not a curated record. The transcript has 3 exons.
AGGAAUAAGCACUCCGCUUAAGCCCGGAGACUGCAGAAAUUACGUUCCUGACCUUGGUCCAUCGUUUGAAAAUUACUGCUCUAGGAUGCUGGACAAAAGAAGGGGUGACGUGAGAAGCAUUUGCUUACCUUUGUGAGAAGUGGGGGAGGCUCCGCAAGCGGGUACAGUUCCUUGUUCUCCUGGAUCUUUCCUAUCAUGGCAUCUGUGUUGUACCAUC